GAGAAGGAAGGAGGGAAUACUCGUCUGCAACAAUACAUGCAAAAUUUCAGAGAUUGUGUGGACGAUUGUGAGCUGAAAGAAGUUAUGUCGAUUGGAGAUCCGUUUACCUGGAGCCGAGGGGUUAUAAAAGAGCGUCUGGAUAGAGCGUUUUGCAAUGAAACCUGGGAAGGAAAGUUCCCUUAUGCGGCUGUUAUCCAUGAACAUCAUGUUCACUCGGAUCAUAGGCCAAUCCUACUGGACACACAUUAUUUUGAGUCGGUUAUGAGGCAGCAGCCAAAAGUGGAGAAAAGGUUUGAAGGACGAUGGCUUAAAGAAGAAACGGUUAAUCAGAUUGUCAAUACUGCAUGGGAACGAGCUAAGCUGGCUGGAAUAGGGCCCUCUCUUGCUGAUCGAACAAAGGCAGUGAAAGACGACUUGCAUCAAUGGGACCGUGACAUUUUGAAAGGACCAAUGAAAAGGAUCAGUAAACUGAAAAAGGAGAUGGAGAAAUUAAGAAGAGGGCCGUUGUCAGCUGAGGUCCGUGGAAAAUUGAAAGAAUUGCAAAUCCACAUUGAAAAUAUCUUGGACCAGGAGGAACUCAUUUGGCUGCAGCGUGGUCGUACCAACUGGCUGCCCCAUGGUGACCGAAACACCUCAUUUUUUCAUAACACGGCCACGGCGCAUAAGAAACAAAACUGCAUCAAACGGUUACUUGAUGACACUGGAGUGGGGAAGGAGGAUAUUGAUGACCUGAAUAGAAUUAUCUCCGGAUACUUUAAGGACUUGUUUGCAUCUAGUGUCCAAGCACCAGCACAGAGUUACGGGGGCGAUGAAUGA
Molecule: ribosomal RNA, 816 nt
Filed under: Triticum aestivum (bread wheat)
Lineage: Eukaryota; Viridiplantae; Streptophyta; Magnoliopsida; Poales; Poaceae
Description: partial small subunit ribosomal RNA
Source: RNAcentral